GAUGAACGCUAGCUACAGGCUUAACACAUGCAAGUCGAGGGGUAACGAGAGGGAAGCUUGCUUUCCUUGUCGACGACCGGCGGAUGGGUGAGUAACGCGUACCCAACCUGCCCUUCAGUAAGGGAUAGCCUUUCGAAAGAAAGAAUAAUACCUUAUGUGAUCGUUUGAUGACAUCAGACGACGAUCAACGAUUUAUCGCUGAAGGAUGGGGAUGCGUCCCAUUAGGCAGUAGGCGGGGUAACGGCCCACCUAACCUACGAUGGGUAGGGGUUCUGAGAGGAAGGUCCCCCACAUUGGAACUGAGACACGGUCCAAACUACUACGGGAGGCAGCAGUGAGGAAUAUUGGUCAAUGGCCGUAAGGCUGAACCAGCCAAGUAGCGUGCAGGAUGACGGCCCUAUGGGUUGUAAACUGCUUUUAAACGGGGAUAAAGUGAGCCACGUGUGGUUUAUUGCAGGUACCGUUUGAAUAAGGACCGGCUAAUUCCGUGCCAGCCGCCGCGGUAA
RNAcentral lists this ribosomal RNA (506 nucleotides) under uncultured bacterium. RNAcentral describes it as "partial 16S ribosomal RNA". It matches the Rfam family "Bacterial small subunit ribosomal RNA", at positions 28 to 523 of the family's 1533-position model. The record is from RNAcentral.